Molecule: long non-coding RNA, 177 nt
Organism: Telopea speciosissima
Lineage: Eukaryota; Viridiplantae; Streptophyta; Magnoliopsida; Proteales; Proteaceae
Exons: 3
Source: RefSeq, a predicted model, not a curated record
UGAAUGGAGAGAGAGAGAGAGCGAGAGAGAUGAGAGAUAAGAUGGGUGAUGGGUCGACUAAGUAGUUUUAGAAAGGGUUCAUGGACUGAAGAAGAAGAUAAGUUGCUGAGAAGAUGUGUAGAGAUGUAUGGAGAAGGCAACUGGAGGCAUAUCCCUUCAAGGGCAGGCCAGAACUAC